Long non-coding RNA from Suricata suricatta (meerkat), 367 nucleotides. RefSeq lists it as uncharacterized. The record is from RefSeq and is a predicted model, not a curated record. NCBI's taxonomy places the organism in Eukaryota, Metazoa, Chordata, Mammalia, Carnivora, Herpestidae. The transcript has 2 exons.
GUGCGUCGUUUGGUUUCCGUGGCUCCCGCAGCUCGGAAGGAAUGCCGGGGCUCCUCUCCUCCGCGCCAGGGGCUGCUCCCGCCUCCAAAGCGGCCGGGCCUGGGCCCGGCUCAGACGGUCAGAGCUACUUGGGCCGGGCCGGGCUGGCAUCAGGGGUUCUAAGGGCCCCCGCCACUCCUGCCUUCGUGCUCCUGUGAGUUCAGUCUGAACAACACUGCGGCUUCGCGGACAGCCUCUCCUGCCACAUUUGGGAACCAUCUGGGAGACAUGGAGAUCAAACGCAAGCCUGAGAAGAAACUUCAUUAGAUCCAACUGGCAAAGAUGAAUAAAUAUGCGGCACACAGGGACAGAACCCUCAGAAAAGCAA